Molecule: long non-coding RNA, 305 nt
Filed under: Bos taurus (domestic cattle)
Lineage: Eukaryota; Metazoa; Chordata; Mammalia; Artiodactyla; Bovidae
Description: long non-coding RNA NONBTAT024549
Source: RNAcentral
AACCCGUUUCCUCAUCUUUUAUUAUUCUUUGCUUUGUAUCUCACACUCCAGUCAAUCAAACUGUUUUGUUCCCUUCUUAUGCUAGAAAAUUUGUCACUUGACUUUGUGCACCUUAUUCCCUCUAUUUGAAAUACUCCACAGUCCUGACCAAGGUCACAUACAUAAUUAUGGUAGCAUAGAAUUUGAAUUAUAGUAAGCCUUCUAAAAAUGAAUUUUUCCUUUCACCCAUGUUCUUUCCAGUUUAUUAUCUAAAAGGAUAUAACAAUGCAUAUGUAAUGAUGAGGAUAUUUAUAUGUACUUAUGAA